Molecule: ribosomal RNA, 2993 nt
Filed under: sediment metagenome
Description: bacterial LSU rRNA
Rfam family: Bacterial large subunit ribosomal RNA
Source: RNAcentral
UCAAGCGAGAAAGGGUCUACGGUGGAUGCCUUGGAGCUAUCCGACGAGGAAGGACGUGAUAAGCUGCGAAAAGCCUCGGGGAGGAGCAAAUAUCCAAUGAUCCGGGGGUAUCCGAAUGGGGUAACCCGGCCGCUUUGAUGGCGGUCACGCGGCAGUGAAUACAUAGCUGCCGUGAGGAAUACGCGGGGAACUGAACCAUCUAAGUACCUGCAGGAAAAGAAAUCAAAACAGAGAUUCCCUGAGUAGCGGCGAGCGAAAGGGGAAGAGCCCAAACCGGUGGUGUGCAAGCCUUGCAGCGUUGCAUCACCGGGGUUGUAAGAAGUUGCCGGAGGACGUGCAAGAGUCCUCGCGCAGUGAGAAACCUGAAGCAUAGCCGAACGCUACUGGGAAGGGCGACCGGAGCGGGUGAAAGUCCCGUAGGCGAAAUGCUGAGGGCUGCGUGGGCAGCGAUCUUGAGUACGGCGGGGCACGAGGAAUCCUGCCGGAAGCAGGGGGGACCACCCUCCAAGGCUAAAUACGAGAUAGCUACCGAUAGCGCAUAGUACCGUGAGGGAAAGGUGAAAAGCACCCCGGGAGGGGAGUGAAAGAGAACCUGAAACCGUAGACUUACAAGCGGUCGGAGCGUGUAGCAAUACAUGUGACGGCGUGCCUUUUGUAGAAUGGGCCUGCGAGUUACCGUAUGUAGCGAGGUUAAGGUACAGGAGUACCGGAGCCGAAGGGAAACCGAGUCUGAAUAGGGCGAAUGAGUUGCAUGCGGUAGACCCGAAGCCAGGUGAUCUAUCCAUGGUCAGGCUGAAGCUGGGGUAAAACUCAGUGGAGGGCCGAACCCUAGUCUGUUGAAAAAGGCAGGGAUGAACCGUGGAUUGGAGUGAAAGGCUAAACAAACCUGGAGAUAGCUGGUACUCCCCGAAAUAGCUUUAGGGCUAGCCUUGCGGGAGUGUGGCGGAGGUAGAGCACUGGAUGGGCUAGGGCCCUUCACCGGGUACCAAACUCAACCAAACUCCGAAUGCCGCCACAUGCUCCGUGGGAGUCAGACUGCGGGUAAUAAGGUCCGUAGUCGAGAGGGAAACAGCCCAGACCGCCAGCUAAGGUCCCCAAACUACGCUCAGUGGGAAAGGAAGUGCAACGGCGAAGACAGCCAGGAGGUUGGCUUAGAAGCAGCCAUACCUUCAAAGAGUGCGUAACAGCUCACUGGUCGAGUCGUUGUGCGCCGACAAUGUAACGGGGCUAAGCGUAGUACCGAAGCUGCGGCUUCACGCCAAUAGGCGUGAGGGGUAGGGGAGCAUUCCAUGGACCGAAGAAGGUGAGCUGAGAGGCGAGCUGGAGGGGAUGGAAGAGAGAAUGCAGGCAUGAGUAACGAAGAGGCAGGUGAGAUCCCUGCCCGCCGAAAGCCUAAGGUUUCCAGGGUAAAGGUAAUCUACCCAAGGGUUAGUCGGCCCCUAAGGCGAGGCUGAAAAGCGUAGCCGAUGGGAAACUGGUUAAUAUUCCAGUACCUCUUCCGAUUUCGAGGGGAUGACGCAUGAGGCGAAGCGCGGCCCGGCGAUGGUAGUCCGGGUGCAAGCGGCAAGCUGAUGAGGCUGGUAGGCAAAUCCGCCAGCUGAGGUGAGCCGUGAAGCCGAGCGGAGCUACGGCAAAGCGAAGCGUGCGGAGUCAUGGUGACAAGAAAUAGUCUCUAAGGAUAGGUCGGAAGGGACCGUACCGCAAACCGACACAGGUAGGCGAGAUGAGGAUUCUAAGGCGUACGGGAGAACUCGCGUUAAGGAACUCGGCAAAAUGCACACGUAACUUAGGGAGAAGUGUGGCCCCGCGAGGAUGUCAAAGUUUGAGCGGGGUUGCAGAGAAAUGGCCCAAGCGACUGUUUACCAAAAACACAGGUCUGUGCGAAUCUGUAAAGAGAUGUAUACGGACUGACACCUGCCCGGUGCUGGAAGGUUAAGGGGAGUUGUAAUCUUCUUCGGAAGUGAAGCAGCGAACUGAAGCCCCAGUAAACGGCGGCCGUAACUAUAACGGUCCUAAGGUAGCGAAAUUCCUUGUCGGGUAAGUUCCGACCCGCACGAAUGGUGUAACGACUUGGGCGCUGUCUCAACGCGAGACCCGGUGAAAUUGAGGUAUCGGUGAAGACGCCGAUUACCCGUGGUUAGACGGAAAGACCCCGUGAACCUUUACUGUAGCCUGGCAUUGGAAUCUGGGCUCACAUGUGUAGGAUAGGAGGGAGACUGGGAAGCAUGGUCGCUAGGCUGUGUGGAGUCGUUGGUGAAAUACCUCCCUUGUGAGUUUAGGUUUCUAACGCUGUCCUUGAAGCAGGUCAGCGGACCAUGUCAGGUGGGCAGUUUGACUGGGGCGGUCGCCUCCUAAAGAGUAACGGAGGCGCGCGAAGGUCACCUUACACUGGUUGGAAAUCAGUGUGUAAGUGCAAAGGCAUAAGGUGGCUUGACUGCGAGACAUACAGGUCGAGCAGGUGCGAAAGCAGGUCUUAGUGAUCUGGCGGUGGCGAGUGGAAGCGCCGUCACUUAACGGACAAAAGGUACUCCGGGGAUAACAGGCUUAUCCUACCCAAGAGUUCAUAUCGACGGUAGGGUUUGGCACCUCGAUGUCGGCUCAUCGCAUCCUGGGGCUGGAGCAGGUCCCAAGGGUUUGGCUGUUCGCCAAUUAAAGCGGUACGUGAGCUGGGUUCAGAACGUCGCGAGACAGUUCGGUCCCUAUCUGCCACGGGCGUUGGAUGGUUGAGAGGAGCUGCUCUUAGUACGAGAGGACCGGAGCGGACGAACCUCUGGUGUAUCAGUUAUCGUGCCAACGGUAUGUGCUGAGUAGCCAUGUUCGGAAGGGAUAACCGCUGAAAGCAUCUAAGUGGGAAGCCCUCCUCAAGAUGAGCCAUCCCCUCUCCUUUAAGGAGACUAAAGGCACCAGAGAGAAGAUCUGGUUGAUAGGCUGGAGGUAUAAGCAUGGUAACAUGUUGAGCCGACCAGUACUAAUAUGCCGUGCGGCUUGACCAU